UACGAAGGGGGCUAGCGUUGUUCGGAAUUACUGGGCGUAAAGCGUGCGUAGGUGGUUUUUUAAGUCCGUUGUGAAAGCCCUGGGCUCAACCUGGGAAUGGCAGUGGAUACUGGAAAGCUAGAGUGCGGUAGAGGGUAGUGGAAUUCCCGGUGUAGCAGUGAAAUGCGUAGAGAUCGGGAGGAACACCAGUGGCGAAGGCGGCUACCUGGACCAGCACUGACACUGAGGCACGAAAGCGUGGGGAGCAAACAGG
RNAcentral lists this ribosomal RNA (253 nucleotides) under uncultured bacterium. RNAcentral's name for it is "partial 16S ribosomal RNA". It matches the Rfam family "Bacterial small subunit ribosomal RNA", at positions 524 to 776 of the family's 1533-position model. The record is from RNAcentral.